CCAUGGAAACAUGGUCCUCCCGUAAGGGACAUCAGUACAGGUGGUGCAUGGCUGUCGUCAGCUCGUGUCGUGAGAUGUUGGGUUAAGUCCCGCAACGAGCGCAACCCUUAUUCUUAGUUGUUUCCCUUUGGGAUUACCCUCUAAGAAGACUGCCUCGGAUAACGGGGAGGAAGGUGGGGAUGACGUCAAGUCCGCAUGCUCCUUACGUCUAGGGCUACACACGUCCUACAAUGGGGUCGACAAUGGGAUGCAAUAUCGCAAGAUGGAGCCAAUCCCCAAACGGCCUCUCAGUUCGGAUUGUAGUCUGCAACUCGACUACAUGAAGUCGGAAUCGCUAGUAAUCGCGGAUCAGCAUGUCGCGGUGAAUACGUUCCCGGGUCUU
Molecule: ribosomal RNA, 382 nt
Filed under: uncultured bacterium
Lineage: Bacteria
Description: bacterial SSU rRNA
Rfam family: Bacterial small subunit ribosomal RNA
Source: RNAcentral